GGCCAUGUGGCGACACAGAGCGGAACCCGAAAACCUGUCUCAGUUCGGAUUGGAGUCUGCAACCCGACUCCAUGAAGCUGGAUUCGCUAGUAAUCGCGCAUCAGCCAUGGCGCGGUGAAUACGUUCCCGGGCCUUGUACACACCGCCCGUCAAGCCAUGGAAGCCGGGAGUGCCUGAAGUGCGUGAGCGUAAGCAGCGCCCUAAGGUAAAACCGGUGACUGGGGCUAAGUCGUAACAAGGUACC
This 244-nucleotide ribosomal RNA is filed under the name uncultured bacterium. Its description in RNAcentral is "partial 16S ribosomal RNA". It matches the Rfam family "Bacterial small subunit ribosomal RNA", at positions 1248 to 1500 of the family's 1533-position model. The record is from RNAcentral.